Molecule: ribosomal RNA, 470 nt
Filed under: uncultured bacterium
Lineage: Bacteria
Description: SSU rRNA
Rfam family: Bacterial small subunit ribosomal RNA
Source: RNAcentral
AGGACGAACGCUGGCGGCGUGCCUAACACAUGCAAGUCGAACGGAGCCCGCAAGGGUUCAGUGGCGAACGGGUGCGUAACACGUGAGGAACUUGUCCAUCGGCGGGGGAUAGCCGGCCCAACGGCUGGGUAAUACCGCGUACGCCGUCCGGAGCGCAUGCUCUGGCCGGGAAAGCAGCAAUGCACCGAUGGAGAGCCUCGCGGCCUAUCAGCUAGUUGGUGGGGUAAUGGCCUACCAAGGCGACGACGGGUAGCUGGUCUGAGAGGAUGACCAGCCACAUUGGGACUGAGACACGGCCCAGACUCCUACGGGAGGCAGCAGUGGGGAAUAUUGCGCAAUGGGCGAAAGCCUGACGCAGCGACGCCGCGUGUGGGAUGACGGCCUUCGGUUGUAACCACUGUCGCGAGGGACGAAGAUCUGACGGUACCUCGAAAGGAAGCACCGGCUAACUCUGCGCCAGCAGCCGCGGU